RNAcentral lists this ribosomal RNA (551 nucleotides) under Listeria monocytogenes. RNAcentral's name for it is "bacterial SSU rRNA". It matches the Rfam family "Bacterial small subunit ribosomal RNA", at positions 1 to 526 of the family's 1533-position model. The record is from RNAcentral. Lineage: Bacteria; Bacillati; Bacillota; Bacilli; Caryophanales; Listeriaceae.
UUAUGAGAGUUUGAUCCUGGCUCAGGACGAACGCUGGCGGCGUGCCUAAUACAUGCAAGUCGAACGCUUUUUCUUUCACCGGAGCUUGCUCCACCGAAAGAAAAAGAGUGGCGAACGGGUGAGUAACACGUGGGUAACCUGCCCAUCAGAAGGGGAUAACACUUGGAAACAGGUGCUAAUACCGUAUAACACUAUUUUCCGCAUGGAAGAAAGUUGAAAGGCGCUUUUGCGUCACUGAUGGAUGGACCCGCGGUGCAUUAGCUAGUUGGUGAGGUAACGGCUCACCAAGGCAACGAUGCAUAGCCGACCUGAGAGGGUGAUCGGCCACACUGGGACUGAGACACGGCCCAGACUCCUACGGGAGGCAGCAGUAGGGAAUCUUCGGCAAUGGACGAAAGUCUGACCGAGCAACGCCGCGUGAGUGAAGAAGGUUUUCGGAUCGUAAAACUCUGUUGUUAGAGAAGAACAAGGAUGAGAGUAAAAUGUUCAUCCCUUGACGGUAUCUAACCAGAAAGCCACGGCUAACUACGUGCCAGCAGCCGCGGUAAUAC